AUGAGCGCUGCACACACACACAGCUAAAAGUCGUCUGCUUUAACGGCAUAAUUACACAGUAUUUUGGAGAUCUGUGUUGCUGAAUCUUUUGCAAUUUGUUUAAUUAAUAUUGGAGAAGUCACAGUAGAAAGAUGGAGUUGGGAAGCGUUAGCCUUUAGCCACACAAACACACGGUGAUUCCUUGUUUAAACUUCCUGGAGGUGAAACUUUCCUAUGGAUCAGAGCGCGAUCAAGCCAACAUGGAUCCUACCAAAUGUCAACCAGCAGGUUUCGGUGAGAAAAUUGUGGUUAAAAAGUCAGUUCUUACCAGAGAAAAGCCGAGCUUGUGCUGUCCAUAGCUGCCGUCGACUCCCCUGAGACACUGCGCGUCAAGACACCCGUAGAGACACCCUUCCAAAUAUCAGGCAGAGUGCAAGCUUUCAAGGGCGAGUUGAAGGUGGAGGAGGAGUUGGGUGUCAAGUAUUGUCAAGAGGUCUUCUGCACCAUUUCCCUCGACGAGCCCAAGGUACAUUUCAACUGUGAGAGACAGAAUGUAUAAACUCAACUCGUCGUGUUUGGAGGAAGAAGAAUACUGAGUUGCAUCCCAAGAACACCACACCUACUGUGAAGCAUGGGGGUGGAAACAUCAUGCUUUGGGGCUGUUUUUCUGCUAAGGGGACAGGACAAUCGAUCCGUGUUAAGGAAAGAAUGAAUGGGGCCAUGUAUCGUGAGAUUUUGAGCCAAAACCUCCUUCCAUCUGUGAGAGCUUUGAAUGGUUGACCAAAUACUUAUU
Long non-coding RNA from Nerophis ophidion (straightnose pipefish), 772 nucleotides. RefSeq lists it as uncharacterized. NCBI's taxonomy places the organism in Eukaryota, Metazoa, Chordata, Actinopteri, Syngnathiformes, Syngnathidae. The record is from RefSeq and is a predicted model, not a curated record. The transcript is spliced from 3 exons.